GUUUUUGGUUCUGGAGUGAUGGUACGCCUUUCACCUUUUCAUACUGGUGCAAAGGAGAGCCAAAUAACCUUAGGGGCCAGCACUGUUUACAAAUAAAUCAUGGAGAUAACAAAUGCUGGGAUGAUGUACAGUGUCACACUCGCCUUCCAUCCGUCUGUAUAAAGAAAACCAACUGAUUCCUGGGCUGACACAGAGGCAUGAAGCACCUGAAAAAAUCACAAACAUGGGUGGAUGUUUUCUCUCUCUUUAUGCCAUCAGUCUAAUAUGUACCCUGAAGGCUCUAUAUCACAUUUCAUGUCUUUAUUUUCAUUUUCAAGAUCUAAAUCGUCUCUGAGGUCUUGUGCCUUUAAUAAGCACAAACUUAUUCUGCAGAGUGAACUGUGCUUUCUUGUUUCAUGCAAAUUAAAAGUCUCAAGCAUU
This is a long non-coding RNA of Micropterus salmoides (largemouth bass), 420 nucleotides long. RefSeq lists it as uncharacterized. NCBI's taxonomy places the organism in Eukaryota, Metazoa, Chordata, Actinopteri, Centrarchiformes, Centrarchidae. The record is from RefSeq and is a predicted model, not a curated record. The transcript has 2 exons.